GGGAACCAAUCAGAAUAACUGAAGUAUUGACCAGCAGAAAGACGGAAAAAAUAUUGACUGGUAAUAGAGAUGGAAAAAAUGAAGAUAUCUUGACACGGUAGAAGUACAAAGGGUAGAUAUGGAACCAAACAGAGACAACAGCAGACCACAACAAGAUUGGGAAUGGACAGAAACUAAUUAACAAAGACUGGAGAUUACAACAAAACAGAUGCCAAGAGAAAACUUGAUCCAGUGAAAUUCAAGAGAGCUGACAACAAAAACUGAUACUACUUGAUUGGGAAUUGAAGGCAAAGAGUAGGAGCUGACGAAUACGGGGAUCAAGAGGGAAAAACUGCUUGCUCGUAAAACUACUUUCAAGCGAAUCUGAUAAAAUUAUUUCAAUACUGGUGGGCGACUCCCUUUUAAACUGCAGAAGGAGAAAAAAGAAAUGUUCUGAAUUUCAAUGUAUUAAUUUUUAUCCUAAUUUAUGUUGAGACUCGUAAUCUCGUCUCAAUGAUUAAAUAGUAGAUAAUCUUUCUAACAAGUAUGUGAUGAAUAGAUAUAUUUUAGCAUAGGAAUGAAAGUACAAGUUGUGUCGCAUAGGAAUGAUAGUACAAGUUGUGUCAUAUUAGAAUACAAAUUUGACCUAAAAAUAUUGUUCUAUGACCUUUUAAUUAUUUGUCAGUUAAUAAUUAAGUCAUAUAAAAAAAAAAAAUCUGAAUUAGUCUUUAAGUAUUAUAAAUAUUUCUUGAUUUUUAAUUAUAAUAUCAUUAUUUAAAAAUAAUUGCUUGACUUACAUAGUAAGUCAAUAAAA
RNAcentral lists this long non-coding RNA (793 nucleotides) under Citrus sinensis (sweet orange). RNAcentral describes it as "long non-coding RNA (CSIN_LNC005555)". The record is from RNAcentral. Lineage: Eukaryota; Viridiplantae; Streptophyta; Magnoliopsida; Sapindales; Rutaceae.